CUCCUAGGUAACACUCAGAUAAAGGCCUCAGGAGGUGAGGAGGCAAAGUCAUCUAAGGUGGUGUCAAGGAAGAAAAGAACUUUGUCAUCCGAAGAGGACCAAAUGAAGACCUCUCAAGAGGAGGAGGCAGCAUCAUCAUUAGCUAAGUUUUGCCUGAGGAGGAGCAGAGUGUACCAGAGGAGGAAGUAGGUCCAUC
This is a long non-coding RNA of Phodopus roborovskii (desert hamster), 196 nucleotides long. RefSeq lists it as uncharacterized. The transcript is spliced from 4 exons. The record is from RefSeq and is a predicted model, not a curated record. NCBI's taxonomy places the organism in Eukaryota, Metazoa, Chordata, Mammalia, Rodentia, Cricetidae.